Non-coding RNA from Acanthosepion pharaonis, 115 nucleotides. The record is from the annotation of a GenBank genome assembly. Lineage: Eukaryota; Metazoa; Mollusca; Cephalopoda; Sepiida; Sepiidae.
CCUGCGUUCAAAUCACAUUGAAGACGCCUGUUCUCGUUUGAUCACUGAAGUUAAGCUAUGUUGAAUCCUGUUAGUACUUAGAUGAGGGACCGCUUGGAAACGUCGGGUACUGUAU